CAGCCGCCGCGGUAAUACGGAAGGUCCAGGCGUUAUCCGGAUUUAUUGGGUUUAAAGGGAGUGUAGGCGGUCUGUUAAGCGUGUUGUGAAAUUUAGGUGCUCAACAUUUAACUUGCAGCGCGAACUGGCGGACUUGAGUGCACGCAACGUAUGCGGAAUUCAUGGUGUAGCGGUGAAAUGCUUAGAUAUCAUGACGAACUCCGAUUGCGAAGGCAGCGUACGGGAGUGUUACUGGCGCUUAAGCUCGAAGGUGCGGGUAUCGAACAGGAUUAGAUACCCGAGUAGUCCCUGUCUCUUAUAC
RNAcentral lists this ribosomal RNA (301 nucleotides) under uncultured bacterium. RNAcentral's name for it is "partial 16S ribosomal RNA". It matches the Rfam family "Bacterial small subunit ribosomal RNA", at positions 509 to 807 of the family's 1533-position model. The record is from RNAcentral.